Non-coding RNA from Tupaia belangeri chinensis (Chinese tree shrew), 649 nucleotides. The record is from the annotation of a RefSeq genome assembly. Lineage: Eukaryota; Metazoa; Chordata; Mammalia; Scandentia; Tupaiidae.
UAUGUGUGUGUGCUAGGACAGCACUUUCUUCCUGCACAACAGAGAUUCUGAGAUUCUGGGGACAGGCCUUGGGGACAGCCCCAUGGGACACCCUCCUGGAAGCCCAGCCCUUCUCUGCUCAGCAGGGAGCCACCCCCAGCCACAGAAGAAGGAGGACAUUUGCAUGAGGAGCCCACCUCCCUCAGGAUAAGAAAGACCUGGGGCUUCCCCAGCUGUGGGCUCAGAGGCAGAGCUCUGGGGUGUCUCCACCAUGGCCUGGACCCCUCUCCUGCUCCCCCUCCUCACUCUCUGCACAGGUGCAGUGUCUUCCUACGACCUGACUCAGCCGUCCUCGGUGUCAGUGGCCCUGGGACAGACGGCCACCAUCGCCUGCUCUGGAGAUUUACUGGAUAAAAAAUACACUCGAUGGUUCCAGCAGCACCCGGGCCAGGCCCCUGUGCCCGUUAUAUAUAAGGAUACCGAGCGGCCCUCGGGGGUCCCUGACCGAUUCUCUGGGUCCAGCUCAGGGAAGACGGCCACCCUGACCAUCACUGGGGCCCAGGCUGAGGACGAGGCUGACUAUUACUGUCUGUCACCGGACAGUGAUAACAACCCCACAGUGACACAGGCAGAUGGGGAACUUUGUGACCUCGAGCACUGGGUGCUGUAG